CCUACGGGAGGCUGCAGUGAGGAAUAUUGGUCAAUGGGCUUACGCCUGAACCAGCCAAGUCGCGUGAGGGAAGACUGCCCUAUGGGUUGUAAACCUCUUUUGUCAGGGAGCAACGCCGGCUACGUGUAGCCGGACUGAGAGUACCUGAAGAAAAAGCAUCGGCUAACUCCGUGCCAGCAGCCGCGGUAAUACGGAGGAUGCGAGCGUUAUCCGGAUUUAUUGGGUUUAAAGGGUGCGUAGGCGGAAUGCCAAGUCAGCGGUAAAAUCGCGGGGCUCAACCUCGCUCCGCCGUUGAAACUGGCGUUCUUGAGUGGGCGAGAAGUAUGCGGAAUGCGUGGUGUAGCGGUGAAAUGCAUAGAUAUCACGCAGAACUCCGAUUGCGAAGGCAGCAUACCAAGCUACUUCUGACGUUGAGGCACGAAAGCGUGGGGAGCAAACAGGAUUAGAUACCCUUGUAGUC
RNAcentral lists this ribosomal RNA (460 nucleotides) under uncultured bacterium. RNAcentral describes it as "partial 16S ribosomal RNA". It matches the Rfam family "Bacterial small subunit ribosomal RNA", at positions 338 to 795 of the family's 1533-position model. The record is from RNAcentral.